This 253-nucleotide ribosomal RNA is filed under the name uncultured bacterium. RNAcentral's name for it is "partial 16S ribosomal RNA". It matches the Rfam family "Bacterial small subunit ribosomal RNA", at positions 524 to 776 of the family's 1533-position model. The record is from RNAcentral.
UACGUAGGGUGCGAGCGCUAAUCGGAAUUACUGGGCGUAAAGCGCGUGUAGGCGGAUGAGCAAGUCUGCUGUGAGAGCUCCUGGCUUAACCGGGAGUGGUCGGUGGAAACUGCUCGUCUGGAGGACGGUAGAGGUAGGUAGAAUUCCCGGUGUAGUGGUGAAAUGCGUAGAGAUCGGGAGGAAUACCUGUGGCGAAGGCGGCCUACUGGGCCGGACCUGACGCUGAGACGCGAAGGCGUGGGGAGCGAACGGG